This 279-nucleotide ribosomal RNA is filed under the name uncultured bacterium. RNAcentral's name for it is "partial 16S ribosomal RNA". It matches the Rfam family "Bacterial small subunit ribosomal RNA", at positions 506 to 784 of the family's 1533-position model. The record is from RNAcentral.
UGCCAGCCGCCGCGGUAAUACGGAGAGGGCGAGCGUUAUUCGGAUUUAUUGGGCGUAAAGGGCGUGUAGGCGGCUUGGCAGGUCAAAGGUGAAAUCCCUCGGCUCAAUCGAGGAACUGCCUUUGAAACCGCCUGGCUAGAGGCCGGGAGAGGGUAGUGGAAUUCCCAGUGUAGCGGUGAAAUGCGUAGAUAUUGGGAGGAACACCAGUGGCGAAGGCGACUACCUGGACCGGUUCUGACGCUGAGAUGCGAAAGCGUGGGGAGCAAACAGGAUUAGAUA